GAUGAACGCUGACAGAAUGCUUAACACAUGCAAGUCAUUGGCGAAGCUGCGCUUGCGCAGUCUAGCCAAGGCGGACGGGUGAGUAACGCGUAAGGAACUUGCCUGCAGACAGGGAUAACAGACGGAAACGACUGAUAACACCUGGUAUUGUCAGGCUGGCGCAUGCCGGCCUGAUGAAAGGAGACGCUGCAGGAGAGCCUUGCGUCCUAUUAGCUAGUUGGUGGGGUAACGGCCCACCAAGGCGAUGAUAGGUAGCCGGCCUGAGAGGGUGAACGGCCACAAGGGGACUGAGAUACGGCCCUUACUCCUACGGGAGGCGGCAGUGGGGAAUAUUGGACAAUGGGGGCAACCCUGAUCCAGCAAUUCUGUGUGCACGAAGAAGGUUUUCGGAUUGUAAAGUGCUUUCAGCAGGGAAGAAGAAAGUGACGGUACCUGCAGAAGAAGCGACGGCUAAAUACGUG
Molecule: ribosomal RNA, 461 nt
Filed under: uncultured bacterium
Lineage: Bacteria
Description: partial 16S ribosomal RNA
Rfam family: Bacterial small subunit ribosomal RNA
Source: RNAcentral